RNAcentral lists this ribosomal RNA (478 nucleotides) under uncultured organism. RNAcentral's name for it is "partial 16S ribosomal RNA". It matches the Rfam family "Bacterial small subunit ribosomal RNA", at positions 331 to 800 of the family's 1533-position model. The record is from RNAcentral.
GUACACUCCUGCGGGAGGCAGCAGUAGGGAAUCUUCGGCAAUGGGGGCAACCCUGACCGAGCAACGCCGCGUGAGUGAAGAAGGUUUUCGGAUCGUAAAGCUCUGUUGUAAGUCAAGAACGAGUGUGAGAGUGGAAAGUUCACACUGUGACGGUAGCUUACCAGAAAGGGACGGCUAACUACGUGCCAGCAGCCGCGGUAAUACGUAGGUCCCGAGCGUUGUCCGGAUUUAUUGGGCGUAAAGCGAGCGCAGGCGGUUUGAUAAGUCUGAAGUUAAAGGCUGUGGCUCAACCAUAGUUCGCUUUGGAAACUGUCAAACUUGAGUGCAGAAGGGGAGAGUGGAAUUCCAUGUGUAGCGGUGAAAUGCGUAGAUAUAUGGAGGAACACCGGUGGCGAAAGCGGCUCUCUGGUCUGUAACUGACGCUGAGGCUCGAAAGCGUGGGGAGCGAACAGGAUUAGAAACCCGUGUAGUCCCAUGA